This 253-nucleotide ribosomal RNA is filed under the name uncultured bacterium. RNAcentral describes it as "partial 16S ribosomal RNA". It matches the Rfam family "Bacterial small subunit ribosomal RNA", at positions 524 to 776 of the family's 1533-position model. The record is from RNAcentral.
UACAGAGGUCUCAAGCGUUGUUCGGAUUCAUUGGGCGUAAAGGGUGCGUAGGUGGCGGGGUAAGUCAGGUGUGAAAUCUCGAGGCUCAACCUCGAAACUGCACUUGAUACUGCGGUGCUUGAGGACUGGAGAGGAGACUGGAAUUCAUGGUGUAGCGGUGAAAUGCGCAGAUAUCAGGAGGAACACCGAUGGCGAAGGCAGGUCUCUGGGCAUUAACUGACGCUGAGGAGCGAAAGCAUGGGGAGCGAACAGG